Molecule: long non-coding RNA, 1315 nt
Filed under: Sus scrofa (pig)
Lineage: Eukaryota; Metazoa; Chordata; Mammalia; Artiodactyla; Suidae
Description: lncRNA (ENSSSCG00035007616.1)
Source: RNAcentral
AUGGACAUACUGGUGGGCAAAGGUGCAUGCAUCUGCAGGAAAACCACCUCUUUGUGCUUUGAAUUUUUCUCGAAGCUUUGGGAAUUAUCACAUUUUUAUCUUCGUUUUAUUUUUUGCCCCAUGUUGCAUUUCCAAGUAAAUUGUGAGGCAUCACUGCUUUCUGUCUUUCACAUUUUAGGCUACAAUUAUUACUUGCAUUCACCAAGUAUUGAGCUAAAAACUAGUAUCAAUGAGUCUAAUCACUCAUUCAUAAAGUUCCUUCAUCAAGUAUUGUUGAGCACCUACUAUUGUCAGUCAACAGAAUAUAAUCUUUGACCUUGUGGGAUUUAGAAUUUAGGAAGGGGGAAUUCCCGUCAUGGCUCAGCAGAAAUGAAUCUGACUAGGAUCCAUGAGGAUGCAGGUUCAAUCCCUGGCCUUCCUUAGUGGAUUAAGGAUCCAGGGUUGCUGUGAGCUAUGGUGUAAGUUGCAGAUCUCACAUUGCUGUGGUUGUGGCGUAGGCCAGCAGCUGUAGCUCCAUUUAGACCCCUAGCCUGGGACCCUCCAUACGCCAUGCAUGUGGCCCCCAAAAAAAAAAAUUUAGGAAGGGAUAAAAAGGGUCAUUCACUUGCUCAGAGUCAUCUAGCAUAUAUGUGUAGGUAGUAUCAUGCUGUGGCCUUAUUAUUAUUUUUUUUUAAAGGAGGCUGUUUCUUUUCCAGUCAUCAGAAAGUGGGAACUUUGAGGCUGUGUUCAUUUCCUCUUGGUCCUGUGCAAUAGAACCGUUUCUUCCCGGUUUCCUUGGACAAUGCAGGAGACGUGCCAACUGAGUAUUUUCCAUAGUCUUUCAUUUUUCUCAACUUCCUUUUUUAGGCUGUAUCUCUAGUUCUGAAAGUUUCCUUCCAUAAAGCACUUUUCUACAUUCCAUACCAGAUAAUGUCACUGAUUGUAUCUUUUAUGUCUUUUGUUUUGUUUUGUUUUGUUUUGUCUUUUCAGGGCUGCAUCCACGGCAUAUGGAGGUUCCCAGGCUAGGGGUCUAAUCGGAGCUACAGCUGCCAGCCUACACCACAGCCACAGCAGCGCCAGAUCCGAGCCACGUCUGCAACCUACCCCACAGCUCAAGGCAACGGCAGAUCCUUAACCCACUGAGCAAGGCCAGGGAUUGAACCCGCAACCUCAUGGUUCCUAAUCGGAUUUGUUUCUGCUUCGCCACAAUGAGAACUCCUGUAUCUUUUAUUUCUGAUUUUCUGGCACCAAUGCCUAUUAGUUGUAUUAGUAGAUCCAUAUAAAUGUAUACACAUUAAAAAAUAAGACAUGUUGUUUCAGAUGGCUCUUAUAUGGC